This 2001-nucleotide long non-coding RNA is filed under the name Struthio camelus australis. RNAcentral describes it as "lncRNA (ENSSCUG00000000384.1)". The record is from RNAcentral. Lineage: Eukaryota; Metazoa; Chordata; Aves; Struthioniformes; Struthionidae.
AUGAAACAAGAGGGUCAUGAACUAGUGCAUGUGCUGAAAAUGGUUUGCCAAGGGACCAUGAAGACAAGGCCUUGUGUCAGAAGACUUCCAAAGCAAAUUGGAUUUUCCACACAGCAAUGGCUGCAUUUGACAGUCUGUCAGUGGCCUGUAAAAUUCUCCACCAAUGAUAACAAGACCGAAUUGCCAAGCACUGAAGCAAUGCCACAAGCAUUACAGAACAAAUCACUCCCCUUUCAGUACAUAAUAGCUUCUUGAUCAUCAGUCAAAGAAGGAAUUAUCCGAACCAGCAAACAGGCUGGAGGAGGCUGCUCCCUCUCAGCUAGGAGGUUAUCCCAGAGCUCCUGCGUUAAAGCCACUGCUGAGAGUCUGGGUGUUUCUGAGAAUGUCAGUCCGGGCCAAGUGGUUGGUUGGUGGAUUUUUAGGUUUGGUGCCCCAAAAAAGGAACAAGCAACUGCAUGUAAAGACUUGUAUUCCUGAGCACUCUUAAGGUGUCACCUGCCCCUGCUUGUGACCAACCCCGGGAUGAGUCCUGCUCAGCCACAUCCUGUUCAGAAGGAAAUGUGGACCGCCAGCAAGCGUGGUGGGGUGUCCACGUGGACAAGUUGGCGAUCUGAACAAGACUGCUCUCCUGAUACUGGCACUGGGUCUAUGUCUGGGUUUUUCAGUCUGGGUUCUAUGAAUUUUAGGUGCAAGGUACCACUUUAUCUUCCUUCUCUUCAGCAUACGGAGAGAUAGGGUCACUUUUGUAGUUAGAUACUGAUCUGACGGUGGGGGAGGAGGGGAGGAAGACAUGAGAUGGUCCUGUUACAGAAAAGGUUUGGGUACGGAAGAGGUUGAAUUUGUUUCUUCUUGGUCUAUGGGAAGAAGACUCUUGGAAGUCUUCUCUCCCUAACUUCUAGUUUUCUGUGCCUGUUCUCUGCGGAGACAUGAGUUGUAUAUCAUCUGCCGAGAGGGAAAUUCUGCAGGUUGUGUGCUGAUCCAUAAACAGAAUUUUUUCACCUUCUGCAUUGUGUCCCUUGAGGAGAAACGCUUUAAUCAUGAUAUUCUUCGACCUGUCUUACAUGUAUUUAUAUAAGGGUUACAUAUAACAAGCAUUUCUGACAGACUGCUAAAAUCAUUGAGGCAGAAUAACUUCUAGCAUAGCUCCACUGGCUGCGCUGGUGUUGCAGGAAAGAUGAGUUGGCUCAUUACAUAGCAUCCCUUAAUUAAAAUGGCUUGCUAGGCAUCUUGAUUUGGAGCGGAAGGUCGUGGGUUCAAACUUGAAUGUAUGCGCAGUGAUAACAGAUAGGGGAAGUGCCAGCUGUGAUGGCAGUAUAUUUUAAUGAUGAGGUCAUUUGUGAUGUCUGUUAAGAUGACUUCUGUCCUAAGCUUGUGUCUUCUGAAAUGGCGGCUAAAGGCCUUAAGAAAGACUUUCUAGAAAACAGUCAUAAUCCCAGUGGCCUGGUAAGCGUUCUAGCUGUUUUUAUUAAGGACUUUUAUGUGAUAGAGAAGGUAUGCUGUGGCUGUAUUGAGUUUUCAGAGCAGAUAAUGCCAUCAGACCUGAUAUUUGAGACUUGUGCCCUCCCUGAAACCUUAUGAAAAGAUAAUUUAACAUCACAUUAAUUUUCAUUAUUUAACAUCAGGUUCCUUUUAAAGCCUGGCGUCAUAAAAGCACUUUUUGAGCCCUAGCAGGACUCAAGUUGUCCUGAAAUGAGGUGGCUGUAGGUCUCCACUUGAGGUCCCUGGGGACUGGGAGGAGCUGGAGCACCUAGGGGACCUGGACUGUAGCCCCCUGCCUGCCAGCCUCUUAGCCUCAGUUUCUUCCUGUAUACAGGGGUGCAGUGAAGCCUUGUGAAGAUGAAGAAGGUAACAAGCCUUGAACAGUUGCUAUAUUGAUUUGCUUCUUUGGAUUUCCUAAUGGCCCAAGGGCAUUUGAGGGCUGAUGUGUUUGUUGCUAUUAUUCCACCACAUGUAUGGAACAUUUCUUUGUGAAAGCAGAAAAUAAAUGUUCUUCCUUGGUCA